RNAcentral lists this microRNA precursor (102 nucleotides) under Zootermopsis nevadensis. RNAcentral's name for it is "microRNA MIR158". The record is from RNAcentral. Lineage: Eukaryota; Metazoa; Arthropoda; Insecta; Blattodea; Termopsidae.
UUAUUACAUCUCCAGGCUUCUUCGAUUUUAUUUUUGGAGACGCGCCUGGGUGCCUAUAUCUGCGUCUCCAAAAAUAAAAUCGAAGAAGCCUGGAGAUGUAAU